ACUCCUACGGGAGGCAGCAGUGGGGAAUCUUGCGCAAUGGGCGAAAGCCUGACGCAGCAACGCCGCGUGCGGGAUGAAGGCUCUCGGGUCGUAAACCGCUUUCAGCAGGGACGAAAAUGACGGUACCUGCAGAAGAAGCUCCGGCUAACUACGUGCCAGCAGCCGCGGUAAUACGUAGGGAGCAAGCGUUGUCCGGAUUUAUUGGGCGUAAAGAGCUCGUAGGUGGUUCGGUAAGUCGGGUGUGAAAAAUCUGGGCUCAACCCAGUGGAGCACCCGAUACUGCUGUGACUUGAGUACGGUAGAGGAGUGUGGAAUUCCUAGUGUAGCGGUGAAAUGCGCAGAUAUUAGGAGGAACACCAACGGCGAAGGCAGCACUCUGGGCCGGUACUGACACUGAGGAGCGAAAGCAUGGGGAGCAAACAGGAUUAGAUACCCUGGUAGUC
RNAcentral lists this ribosomal RNA (443 nucleotides) under uncultured bacterium. RNAcentral's name for it is "bacterial SSU rRNA". It matches the Rfam family "Bacterial small subunit ribosomal RNA", at positions 335 to 795 of the family's 1533-position model. The record is from RNAcentral.